This 4710-nucleotide long non-coding RNA is filed under the name Strigops habroptila (Kakapo). Its description in RNAcentral is "lncRNA (ENSSHBG00005019478.1)". The record is from RNAcentral. Lineage: Eukaryota; Metazoa; Chordata; Aves; Psittaciformes; Psittacidae.
AUUUCCUUCCAGCCGUCUUCCAGCUGGCUUUAUUCCCAGAUAACAGCCCAACAGAAACGAAAAACCAGUCUGGCACCAUCACCAGUUGCAGUCUCUCACUCUUCAGGUAGAACAGUGUCCCUUCCCGGGCAGGUUUUGAUGACAUGGGGUUCAGAUGGCAGCAUCUGAAAUGCACUGGAACUGGUACAGCCUCUGGUGUUCACGACAGAUGCUCUCUCACGCCUAAGGAAUUAGGAAUCCCAGCUCAUGCCGUAGAAGAAUAGUAGAGUUUAUUCCCUCCAAAGUCUAAACAUACAGAUACAGGUGUAAUUUUGAGGAAUUUAAAUGUAAUCCUAUCAUUAUGAGUAGUAGGCCUUAGCUGCAGACAUACAUCUGUAAUUAAGCAGAAUUAUUCAUAAGGGGGUUUGGCUGUUGUCAAGGCAGACUUGGUAGCUCAGGUUAUUGUUAAACAGUGUUAAAACAGCAGGGGCAACUCAGCCCUGAGUGACCACCUCACUCCACCUCACUAGGCCUAAUGUGGGUGCCUAAUGAUGUGACUCUGCCUGUGUGUGACCUUCUGCCUCCACAAGUGUGCUAUUUGUCUUUCAGUUCUCCUGAAUUUGGGAGGCAGGCACCAUGGCCUUAACAUGCCUUUGCCUUUCUCCGUAAAGUACAUCAAUGCAGGCUGAGUGCAAAGCCCACAUAUACCUCUUUUACACUCCAUAAGCAUGGGUGCAUGGCUUACAAAGCAAGGCAGGGUCCAUCUCCCAGUUCCUGACCCCUCUCUCGUGCUCCCUGCUGUGCUUCACUCCCUGAUGAGAGCAGAAGAAAACAGCGAAUCUUUUCCUUCUGUCUACAAGCUCCUUGGCACCGCACCAUCAGGCAAGAUGAAGUACAAUCUAGGAAUGGAAAAGUAGCUCAUAUUUAGACUGGAACAUUUAAUACUAUACCCUGGAAAACUGUGUUUUGCUGAGGCUUCUGACAGGGGAAGAAGGAGUGAUGUGAGAUUUUUGCAGUUCUCCUAAAAAUACCUAACCAAUAAAAUCCACGCCAUGUUCAAGGUAGAAAUCACACAGGAAGAGAAAGAACCUCUUACUAUUCAGCUAAUAAACACCUUGGAUUAGUUAAAGCUAAAAUAAUUUAAAAUAUCCAGUCUUAAUCUAACAUUUCAUUCUGUUUGAUUACCCUUUGCAUUUUACUUCCCCCGAAGAGCAUCACCAGCAAUGUCAUAUUUCCCACUGUUCUUCAAUGGCUUCACAUUGUGAUUUCCAGGCUGUGCUAGAAUAAAUAGCACAGCUUGGAAACUGAAGCGGCAUGCAAGGCUGAUCAUUUGCUCAAAACCAACAGUUUUCAAGUAAAUGAAUGGAAAGUAAUUGCAUUUCGGCUUCAGCUUGAAAAUGUAACCAGCAUUAGCAUGUAUCUUCCUGUUGAGUUUAUACAGUCAAUGGCACUUGCUUAUUAGAGAUGUUUCUGGGUCACUGCACUAUUUGUACACGAAUAAUAGCUCAUGGAGAUGUAGUUUGUAGUCCUGCACAGAUCACUCCAACAGUAUACUCUGACCCUGCAUAGAACAAAGAUGUUGUCAUACUAAUUUCCGAGUGAUUCAUGUGUUUGUUUGCCUCAUCGUAAGUUUGCUCUAUGACCCUGGGACUAAAUCUGUCCUUCACGAUUCACCAUGUGCAAGGGCUCUGUAACUCCCUCAUGACCCAUGAGCUCUCUGUAAGAAGCCAAGCCUGACUAGGAGAACUGAAUGCAUCAGGUUCAGCAGCUGUAUCUCGAAUUGGGUUUGUGCCAAAAUAUGCCAGUAUUCUAAUUUCUCCAGAAAUAACCACUGACAACAGAGUAUCACAGGAUCAUUGAACAGUUUGGGUUGUAAGGGACCUUAAAGAUCAUCUAGUUACAACCCCCCUGCCAUGGGCAGGGACACCUUCCACUAGACCAGGUUGCCCAAAGCCCUGUCCAGCUUAAAAUCUGCUCUCACAUCUAUACUUGUUGCCAUGGAAAUAUGCAGUGACAAGGUUUUUUUCCAUCAUUUUAAAAGUUUUCUCUGCCACCUACCAUAUGUUUUUCAGACUGCCCUGGUAAUCACAUAGGUUUACCCAAACACAAAGACCACUGUGGGCGUACUGAACUUGCACAGAGCCAAGUAGAGAGCUGUUCAGCAUGACCCGAAGAAAGCACACGUGCAGCAACACUGCUGCCAGUCCUUAAUACAGAGAGAGACGACUGUCUGGAGAUUCUUUCAGCUAGGCACCAACAAAACCUUUUAGUUACUGAGGACCAACUGGGUUUGAUGAGAGAGCAAACAGCACGCGCCAUAGUGUUACCCAUCAAGACAAAUACCAAUAACAACUAGCUAUCAGCAUGAUUCAAAUGCUGCCCUUAGACUGUGACUUUAAAUUAGUGAAGGAUGUUGUAUUUGUAGUGCAAGUGUGUCCCCAGUGGCUGCCAAACAUUUUGCUUCUGGCAGUAGCCCUCUGCAUUGCCCUUACCAUAUGUCGCCACCUCCAGCUACCUCCCCAUGCCCAUCUCCUCUGCUUCCCCGCUCUGUGCAUCUGCUCCAGCCAGAAGCUCCAUUUCCCAAGAGACUCACAUGAACUGGCUGAGGCCCAGCCACAGAUGACAAUAUUAAGCAGUGCCUCUGGGCUGUGAGUGGUGGGGAAGGUGCCUUGGCUGGGGACAGUCACUUUGAAGUCGCUCAGGGUGCUGCACGCUCACUGCACUGGAACAGCCUGGCAGAGGGCUGCAGAACGAUGCCUACAGCCCAGGAGAAGGGAGGCUUUCCCUGCAUCUCCCCAGAGGCAGACUGUGGCAGCAGGAGGAAGGCAAAAUCCCAUCCUGCCACCCGUGUAGGAAGGGAAAGGCAGGCCAUGCCAUGGCUGUGGGCAGAGCAGAAGCAGGGAGUGACAAAAGCCAAAGGCAAAGUACAGGAAAUGUAUAAAAGGAGCCAACACUGAAAUCUCCUGGAAUAAGACUUUGGCUUAUGCCAGGUUGCUACACCAAUUUUGUGGCAUGAUGAUAGGUUUCAGCCUUUGGCUACCAGGCAAGCCCAGGGUGGAAAGUGUAAUGGGACUUUAUGUUCAACAUUAGCUCAGAGCAGGCUGCAGAAUCACUGAGGUGGAUGGGCUGCAGGACUGUAAACAAAGGAUUAUGGCAUGUGGCGAGAGGCUGUUCAGAGGGAAGGGACCAAGGGUAUCAUGGGGAUGGGGAUCAGCAAGACCUUAGACUGAGUGCCUCAUUAAAGUUUUAAACUGGUGCUUAAACCAUCCAGCUGACAGAAAAUCAUACUGAAGAGGCUCUGGUAUGUCCUGGAGAAGAGCAGGAGCUGCCUCUGGGCAAGGAAGGGACAUGCUCAGGAAGGUGUUGGGUGCCUGUGCUCCGUUAGCAGCUAGGAAGAGCAGGGCACUGUGCCUGGGAGAUGCCAGCAGCCUGUAACCUAAAAGCUGUGUUACUCUCCUCUCCCCAAGGCUCAGGAACGCGCAGGGGCAUUAUGGUGCAAAACCAGGAGGGCUCUGAACAAAAGAGAGUAGGCUGAGAGCUGGAGAAGCUACACAAUAGCUAGGUCAGGAUCCUCCCAACAACGGUGUAAACACAGCCUGAGAAGGAGAGAGUAGAAACUGCAAACUAGAGGCAGGACUCAACCUGCAAAACAAAAGCUAUUUAGCAAGGAGGAAAUAAUUCACCAGCUAACGUUCCCCGUUGGCAGAGGGGGGAACAGUUCUGGAAAGUCAACCUGUGUUGAGCAAACCUUAGGACAGCUAGCAAAUUAGAAGGGACAUUAGGAGAUGUUAGGAAGGAGGAAGGCAACACACCAGCACCAGGACUGUGCACACAGCUACCCCGCGCCAGGUAGCACUGAGGCAAGUGCUCGGCAAGAGCCCACUCUGCUCAGUUCAGGGCAGCAGCUAAUGAGAGAGCCUGACACACUGGGAAGAAGUCAGAAGAAAGGUGAUAGCUCGUUGUGCAACUACAGGGGAUUGAUCUAUGAUGACGGUAUGUUUUCCUUGGCUCUGAGGGGAUAUGGAAACAGUUUACAAACACUUGUAAGGCAUAAACCCAAGCAGGGCAUAAUACUUACUACAGAAGAUAAAACAAAAAGAGGAAAAAACAAAGCUGAAAGUAACUAGCAACAUUUUACCAAUGAGCUCUAUUAGGUUGUGAAACAGCUGUCACAAGGAAAGCAGAGAAAAAUGCAGGCACGGGCAGUUUUAAAGUUGCAUGGGAAAAAAGUAACUAAUACAUCUGCAAUGAAUAGCAUACAGAAGAAUUUAUUGAAGUGAUACAAAUACUUCCACCCCCCACAAUCUGUGGUCCCAACUUUCCACUGCCCUGCAUCUCUUGCUAUGAUUAACAGCAAUACAAAGAAGAUAAAUGUGUAUUAAAGCAGGAGAGUAACCUUAGAGUACUGCUCUGCCUGAGUGCAUAGACUUCUGGAGGUUUUCAGCCAACAGAGAAUUAGGUUUUAUAAUUGUGUGGGGGAAAACAACUCACUAGCAGUGAUCCUCUUCAGCUCCUCUGGAGAUCUCCUCCUGCCCCAUCCCAAAUCUCCUUUAGUCUUGAUGAGGUAGGGAUAUGACUCCACGUUUGGAUAGUAUGUAUAAAAGUCAUAUCCAGCUGUUUCUGAAAUCUCCCAAUUACCUCUCAAAUACCCUUCCAAUUGCAUUUAGGAGACCAUUCAUGGGGCUCCUGAAGAUCCAGAAGGAAACCUGAAAGAUCGAGGCCCAAAUGCAA